Molecule: ribosomal RNA, 440 nt
Filed under: uncultured bacterium
Lineage: Bacteria
Description: partial 16S ribosomal RNA
Rfam family: Bacterial small subunit ribosomal RNA
Source: RNAcentral
CCUACGGGAGGCAGCAGUGGGGAAUAUUGCACAAUGGGGGAAACCCUGAUGCAGCGACGCCGCGUGAGUGAAGAAGUAUCUCGGUACGUAAAGCUCUAUCAGCAGGGAAGAAAAUGACGGUACCUGCCUAAGAAGCCCCGGCUAACUACGUGCCAGCAGCCGCGGUUAUACGUAGGGGGCAAGCGUUAUCCGGAUUUACUGGGUGUAAAGGGAGCGUAGACGGCAGCACAAGUCUGGAGUGAAAUCCCGGGGCUGAACCCCGGAACUGCUUUGGAAACUGUGCGGCUGGAGUGCAGGAGGGGUAAGCGGAAUUCCUAGUGUAGCGGUGAAAUGCGUAGAUAUUAGGAGGAACACCGGUGGCGAAGGCGGCUUACUGGACUGUAACUGACGUUGAGGCUCGAAAGCGUGGGGAGCAAACAGGAUUAGAUACCCGAGUAGUC